GAUGAACGCUAGCGGCAGGCUUUAACACAUGCAAGUCGAGGGGCAGCACGAGGUAGCAAUACUUGGUGGCGACCGGCGCACGGGUGCGUAACGCGUAUGCAACUUACCUAUCAGAGUGGGAUAACCCGGCGAAAAGUCGGACUAAUACCGCAUGAAACAGGGGUCCCGCAUGGGAAUAUUUGUUAAAGAUUUAUUGCUGAUAGAUAGGCAUGCGUUCCAUUAGAUAGUUGGUGAGGUAAACGGCUCACCAAGUCAGCGAUGGAUAGGGGUUCUGAGAGGAAGGUCCCCCACAUUGGUACUGAGACACGGACCAAACUCCUACGGGAGGCAGCAGUGAGGAAUAUUGGUCAAUGGGCGAGAGCCUGAAACCAGCCAAAGUCGCGUGAAAGGAAUGAAGGUUCUAUGGAUUGUAAAACUUCUUUUAGAGGGGAAUAAAGUG
Molecule: ribosomal RNA, 439 nt
Filed under: uncultured bacterium
Lineage: Bacteria
Description: bacterial SSU rRNA
Rfam family: Bacterial small subunit ribosomal RNA
Source: RNAcentral